CAAUAGCGUAUAUUAAAGUUGUUGCGGUUAAAAAAAGCUCGUAGUUGGAUUUCUGCUGAGGACGACCGGUCCGCCCUCUGGGGUGAGUAUCUGGUUUCGGGCCUGGGGCAUCUUCUUGGUGAACGUAUCUGCACUUGACUGUGUGGGUGCGGUACCCCAGGACUUUUUACUUUGAGGAAAUUAGAGUGUUUCAAGCAGGCAUACGCCUUGAAUACAUUAGCAUGGAAUAAUAAGAUAGGACCUCGGUUCUAUUUUGUUGGUUUCUAGAGCUGAGGUAAUGAUUAAUAGGGAUAGUUGGGGGGCAUUCGUAUUUAACUGUCAGAGGUGAAAUU
Molecule: ribosomal RNA, 332 nt
Filed under: uncultured eukaryote
Lineage: Eukaryota
Description: SSU rRNA
Rfam family: Eukaryotic small subunit ribosomal RNA
Source: RNAcentral